GCGUGAUUGAUGGAAUGGGCAUACAUACCGUCCUUAGAAGUCGGGUUUUGAGGGUUCGAAUCCCUUGUCACGCACCA
RNAcentral lists this transfer RNA (77 nucleotides) under Escherichia coli. RNAcentral describes it as "tRNA-Leu". It matches the Rfam family "tRNA". Rfam says of the family: Transfer RNA (tRNA) molecules are approximately 80 nucleotides in length. Their secondary structure includes four short double-helical elements and three loops (D, anti-codon, and T loops). RNAcentral also lists the same sequence under 8 other names. The record is from RNAcentral. Lineage: Bacteria; Pseudomonadati; Pseudomonadota; Gammaproteobacteria; Enterobacterales; Enterobacteriaceae.